Aegilops tauschii subsp. strangulata is the source of this 447-nucleotide non-coding RNA. NCBI's taxonomy places the organism in Eukaryota, Viridiplantae, Streptophyta, Magnoliopsida, Poales, Poaceae. The record is from RefSeq and is a predicted model, not a curated record.
UUUCAAAGGGGACGAGGUGAUGUGCCUCAACACCAAACCGAAAAGGGAAUGGGAAGCAGGACUGGAGGCAGUACGAGUCAUGGAAAUGAUGAUGAGGAUGACUACUAUGGCAAUGGGGGAUAUGAUAAGUAUGGCGAGGGUGAUCUGUAUGGUGAUGAGCACUAUGAUCACUAUGGCCAUGGGGAAUAUGAUGACUAUGGAGAUGAGGAUGACUAUGGCUAUGCCGGUGGCGAUGGCGAUGAUGAUGAUUGGCUAUAAAAGUCUAAUGAUAUUCAAGUCAUGCCAAAAUGUAGUUAUGUUAGAUAUUUGAAACACUUUAUUAUCUUAUGGACAAAUUUGUCUUAGUGGACAAUUUAUCUUAUGCACAAUGUGGCCUAUCUCAGUUACAAUUUUGUUCUGCAUUCGACAUUUGAUAAUUAUGGUUAAUGCAAUUUGGAUGCAACUCAA